RNAcentral lists this ribosomal RNA (301 nucleotides) under uncultured bacterium. RNAcentral describes it as "partial 16S ribosomal RNA". It matches the Rfam family "Bacterial small subunit ribosomal RNA", at positions 509 to 807 of the family's 1533-position model. The record is from RNAcentral.
CAGUCGCCGCGGGAAUACGUAGGUGGCAAGCGCUGUCCGGAAUUAUUGGGCGUAAAGGGCUCGCAGGCGGUUUCUUAAGUCUGAUGUGAAAGCCCCCGGCUCAACCGGGGAGGGUCAUUGGAAACUGGGAAACUUGAGUGCAGAAGAGGAGAGUGGAAUUCCACGUGUAGCGGUGAAAUGCGUAGAGAUGUGGAGGAACACCAGUGGCGAAGGCGACUCUCUGGUCUGUAACUGACGCUGAGGAGCGAAAGCGUGGGGAGCGAACAGGAUUAGAUACCCCAGUAGUCCCUGUCUCUUAUAC